This 482-nucleotide ribosomal RNA is filed under the name uncultured soil bacterium. Its description in RNAcentral is "bacterial SSU rRNA". It matches the Rfam family "Bacterial small subunit ribosomal RNA", at positions 27 to 509 of the family's 1533-position model. The record is from RNAcentral.
GGGACGAACGCUGGCGGCGUGCUUAACACAUGCAAGUCGAGCGGAAAGGCCUUUCGGGGUACUCGAGCGGCGAACGGGUGAGUAACACGUGAGUAAUCUGCCCAUCGCUUCAGGAUAGCCAUCGGAAACGGUGAUUAAUACUGGAUAUGACAUUCCUUCGCAUGUUGGGGUGUGGAAAGUUUUUUCGGCGGUGGAUGUGCUCGCGGCCUAUCAGCUUGUUGGUGGGGUAAUGGCCUACCAAGGCUUUGGACGGGUAGCCGGCCUGAGAGGGUGACCGGCCACACUGGGACUGGAGACACGGCCCAGACUCCGUACGGGAGGCAGCAGGUGGGGAAUAUGGACAAGUGGGCGGAAGCCUGAUCCAGCAACGCCGCGUGAGGAUGACGGCCUUCGGGUUCGUAAACCUCUUCAGCACGAGACGUAAGUUUGUCGUUUUUGGUGAGUGACGGUAUGUGCGAGAAGAACGGACCGACCAACGUACG